GAUCCUGGCUCAGGACGAACGCUGGCGGCGUGCCUAACACAUGCAAGUCGAGCGAGAAUUUCGCAGCGGAAUCCUUCGGGAGGAAGCAGUGGAAGGAAAGCGGCGGACGGGUGAGUAACGCGUGAGUAACCUGCCUUCAGGAGGGGGAUAACAUUCCGAAAGGAAUGCUAAUACCGCAUGACAUUGUAUUUCCGCAUGGAAUAACAAUCAAAGAUUUAUCGCCUGAAGAUGGACUCGCGU
This 240-nucleotide ribosomal RNA is filed under the name uncultured bacterium. RNAcentral describes it as "partial 16S ribosomal RNA". It matches the Rfam family "Bacterial small subunit ribosomal RNA", at positions 15 to 236 of the family's 1533-position model. The record is from RNAcentral.